This 299-nucleotide long non-coding RNA is filed under the name Carica papaya (papaya). Its description in RNAcentral is "long non-coding RNA (CPAP_LNC003543)". Lineage: Eukaryota; Viridiplantae; Streptophyta; Magnoliopsida; Brassicales; Caricaceae. The record is from RNAcentral.
UCGUAUUGUUACCAAAUGGAUAACGGAUACAUCCGUUCAAUAUAAAAAAAAAUUUUAAAACUUUAAUAACUUCAAUCUAGUUAUUGUGAUGGGGUAAAUUGAGAAUAGAGAAUACCCACUGAGGGGUUACGAAUGUCUUGAUUUGACCGAAAACUUGCAGAACAUUUUUGGUGGUGAUUCUGAAGGAUAAAAGAUGGCUUAAGAAAAACUAUGGGAUAAAAUGGAUCUAGAGGGAUUUUGAGGAAAAAUGAGUCUAAGAGCUUUUGAUGGAUAAUACCUAUGUUUAGGGGGAGUUUAAG